GGACUCUCAAAGUAAUGGGGGGGAAGCUCGGGGAAACUCGAAUUAAUACCGCAUACGACCUACGGGAGAAAGGGCCGCAGUUUACUGCUCUCGCUAUUAGAUGAGCCUAAGUCGGAUUAGCUAGAUGGUGGGGUAAAGGCCUACCAUGGCGACGAUCUGUAGCUGGUCUGAGAGGAUGAUCAGCCACACCGGGACUGAGACACGGCCCGGACUCCUACGGGAGGCAGCAGUGGGGAAUAUUGGACAAUGGGGGAAACCCUGAUCCAGCCAUGCCGCGUGUGUGAAGAAGGCCUUUUGGUUGUAAAGCACUUUAAGCAGUGAAGAAGACUCCUCGGUUAAUACCCGUGGACGAUGACAUUAGCUGCAGAAUAAGCACCGGCUAACUCUGUGCCAGCAGCCGCGGUAAUACAGAGGGUGCAAGCGUUAAUCGGAAUUACUGGGCGUAAAGCGAGCGUAGGUGGCUUGAUAAGUCAGAUGUGAAAUCCCCGGGCUUAACCUGGGAACUGCAUCUGAAACUGUUAGGCUAGAGUAGGUGAGAGGAAGGUUAGAAUUCCAGGUGUAGCGGUGAAAAUGCGUAGAGAUCUGGAGGAAUACCGAUGGCGAAGGCAGCCUUCUGGCAUCAUACUGACACUGAGGCUCGAAAGCGUGGGUAGCAAACAGGAUUAGAUACCCCUGGUAGUCCACGCCGUAAACGAUGUCUACUAGUCGCUGGGUCCCUUGAGGGACUUAGUGACGCAGCUAACGCAUUAAGUAGACCGCCCUGGGGAGUACGGCCGCCUAGGUUAAAACUCCAAUGAAUUGACGGGGGCUCCGCACAAGCGUUGGAGCAUGGUGGUUUAU
This 840-nucleotide ribosomal RNA is filed under the name uncultured Psychrobacter sp. RNAcentral describes it as "bacterial SSU rRNA". It matches the Rfam family "Bacterial small subunit ribosomal RNA", at positions 119 to 950 of the family's 1533-position model. Lineage: Bacteria; Pseudomonadati; Pseudomonadota; Gammaproteobacteria; Moraxellales; Moraxellaceae. The record is from RNAcentral.